CCUACGGGAGGCAGCAGUGAGGAAUAUUGGUCAAUGGACGCAAGUCUGAACCAGCCAUGCCGCGUGCAGGAAGACGGCUCUAUGAGUUGUAAACUGCUUUUGUACGAGGGUAAACUCAGAUACGCGUAUCUUUCUGAAAGUAUCGUACGAAUAAGGAUCGGCUAACUCCGUGCCAGCAGCCGCGGUAAUCCGGAGGAUUCAAGCGUUAUCCGGAUUUAUUGGGUUUAAAGGGUGCGUAGGCGGUCGGAUAAGUUAGAGGUGAAAUCCCGAGGCUCAACUUCGGAAUUGCCUCUGAUACUGUUCGGCUAGAGAGUAGUUGCGGUAGGCGGAAUGUAUGGUGUAGCGGUGAAAUGCUUAGAGAGCAUACAGAACACCGAUUGCGAAGGCAGCUUACCAAGCUACGUCUGACGUUGAGGCACGAAAGCGUGGGGAGCAAACAGGAUUAGAUACCCCAGUAGUC
RNAcentral lists this ribosomal RNA (460 nucleotides) under uncultured bacterium. RNAcentral describes it as "partial 16S ribosomal RNA". It matches the Rfam family "Bacterial small subunit ribosomal RNA", at positions 338 to 795 of the family's 1533-position model. The record is from RNAcentral.